UACGUAGGGUGCAAGCGUUGUCCGGAAUUAUUGGGCGUAAAGAGCUCGUAGGCGGUUUGUCGCGUCUGCUGUGAAAACUCGGGGCUUAACCCCGGGCCUGCAGUGGGUACGGGCAGACUAGAGUGCGGUAGGGGAGACUGGAAUUCCAGGUGUAGCGGUGAAAUGCGUAGAUAUCUGGAGGAAUACCGGUGGCGAAAGCGGCAUCCUGGACCGGCAUUGACGCUGAUGAGCGAAAGCUAGGGGAGCAAACGGG
RNAcentral lists this ribosomal RNA (253 nucleotides) under uncultured bacterium. RNAcentral's name for it is "partial 16S ribosomal RNA". It matches the Rfam family "Bacterial small subunit ribosomal RNA", at positions 524 to 776 of the family's 1533-position model. The record is from RNAcentral.